This 331-nucleotide ribosomal RNA is filed under the name uncultured eukaryote. RNAcentral's name for it is "partial 18S ribosomal RNA". It matches the Rfam family "Eukaryotic small subunit ribosomal RNA", at positions 1470 to 1796 of the family's 1831-position model. The record is from RNAcentral.
CCCUUAGAUGUUCUGGGCCGCACGCGCGCUACACUGACGAAGUCAGCGAGCAUGUCCUACGCCGACAGGUGCGGGGAAUCUUGUCAAACUUCGUCGUGAUGGGGAUUGAUUAUUGAAAUUCUUGAUCAUCAACGAGGAAUUCCUAGUAAGCGCAAGUCAGCAGCUUGCGUUGAUUACGUCCCUGCCCUUUGUACACACCGCCCGUCGCUACUACCGAUUGAAUGGUUUAGUGAUGGCCUCGGAUUGGUCUCGGCCCGCUCUUUACCGGGCGGCGCCGUUGGUCGAGAAGACGCUCGAACUUGAUCGUUUAGAGGAAGUAAAAGUCGUAACA